UGUAGUCUAGUGGUUAAGACUCUACACUCUCAAUGUAGUGGGUACAGGUUUGAUCCCCAGUCA
This 63-nucleotide transfer RNA is filed under the name Bos taurus (domestic cattle). It matches the Rfam family "tRNA", at positions 6 to 65 of the family's 71-position model. Rfam says of the family: Transfer RNA (tRNA) molecules are approximately 80 nucleotides in length. Their secondary structure includes four short double-helical elements and three loops (D, anti-codon, and T loops). The record is from Rfam by way of RNAcentral. Lineage: Eukaryota; Metazoa; Chordata; Mammalia; Artiodactyla; Bovidae. RNAcentral also lists the same sequence under 2 other names.